Molecule: long non-coding RNA, 498 nt
Filed under: Chinchilla lanigera (long-tailed chinchilla)
Lineage: Eukaryota; Metazoa; Chordata; Mammalia; Rodentia; Chinchillidae
Description: lncRNA (ENSCLAG00000023185.1)
Source: RNAcentral
CACUGUGUGUGAUUAACUAAAACAGCCUGCUGACGGUUUGGAAUAAACCUGCUUUUUUCCAUUUAGCAUUUUAUCAAAUGAAUGUAAUUUUGCUUACUGAUGAAUUUAGUUCAGCUUCAAAGGAAUUUUUCUCUUCUUCAUGGGGAGGCUGGAGAAUCAGAACUGUCAUGCUGAAGAAUGAAACGCCUAGGGAGAAAAAGAGUCUGAUGUUUACAUGGGUAAAGCAAAAGUAUCUUUAUGGAUUUUACCCUGCCCUCUCCCCUGAGUUUUUAUAAGUUGGAAGCCAGGCAGUUUCCAUCAGCCACGGACUUGUGUGCAUGCAUGGUUUCCUGUGUGUCAUCGGUGUUUGUGAAUCGUGACAGCGAGUCGAGGGCUGCAGGAGCCAAGGCUAGCACGUUGUCACCUGCCAGAUGGGAGGAGUCCUGCAAAAUCCUCUUGGCUUCCCUGGCAGAAAUGAGUACAUCAACACAGCAGGCCAUGCCAAUCACGGAUGACUAG